ACAUUCAAACAAUUCCUUUCUUCCCCUGUGUCAGCCGCUGACAGGGCCAUUGCACAGUGGGGCAGGGAGAGAUUCCGUUUGGCCACAAAGAGACAGCCUGCAGGACAUAAAUUAAGCUUUAGACAUUUACUGCCAGAUCCAGAGAGAGGGAAAAGAGCUGGGAGUCUGCUGCCCACGUGCAGGAGUUGGAAUUCCCUCUGGAAACUCUGAAAGUCCAAGUUGACCCUCGGAAUCAGCAGUUUCGCUUUUGGGUGGAACUCCUCUUACCCCUGGAUGUUCACGGUGGCAUUGAUUCUAAGAGGGCACUACUGAAAAUAACCUGAGUGUCCAUGAAGAGGGGAAUGGUUAAAAUGUGGUGCUGUCAUGCUGUGGAAUACUAUACAAUGUCAACAGGAAUUAACUAGAUGUAUGCAUGUGAACAUAGGUAGAUCUAAGCAUAAUGCUGAGUGCCAAACAAACAGGCUGAAAAAUUAUAUAUUAUCCAGUCCAGCCAGAAGAAGAGCCAAAAGCUCUCAGCACCUCUUGACCAAGAAUGU
RNAcentral lists this small RNA (536 nucleotides) under Pan troglodytes (chimpanzee). RNAcentral's name for it is "processed transcript". Lineage: Eukaryota; Metazoa; Chordata; Mammalia; Primates; Hominidae. The record is from RNAcentral.